Molecule: small RNA, 3977 nt
Filed under: Pongo abelii (Sumatran orangutan)
Lineage: Eukaryota; Metazoa; Chordata; Mammalia; Primates; Hominidae
Description: retained intron
Source: RNAcentral
AAAGAACUCCAGAUUGGACUUCCUGGUGUAAAUCUCUUCUUGCCUCACACAGGUCGUUUCCUUGGUAGGGUCGCAGAAAACCUUAAGAGCUGCAGGGCUUCAAAGGGAGGACCUUGCAGUCCAAAGUAGCAAAAGGUGUCUGCAUUCUGAGCCUCUUUUCGUAACUGAGCACUCAAGGUGGGGGUCAUUGAGAUAAGGGCUUGGUCCCCAAACCACCACAGCGUGAAUUUAUUGACUUUCUCUUCUCCUCGACCCUCGUGGUCCUGGGAAGCAAGCACUUUUCCAUUUCCAAAUCCAGUGGCUCAAACACCUGGAAAUAGCCUAAAGAAAAUGCAAGUCAGGCCUGGCAGCUAGAGCAGGAGUCCUGGCUCUUGGCCCUUCCCCGGCCCAGCGCUCGGCUGUGGCACCCUAGAGUGUGUGUCUCCACUGUGCUAUUUUUCAGAAGAAUAUGAGGAACAGUACUCGGAGGCCAGACUUGUGGGGCAGACCUUCCGCUCUUCUGAUGAGGCCACUGAGCCCACCCCCAACCCAAGGCCCCAGUCUGCCAGGCGUCUGGAGUUUGUAUUGAUGGUGAGUUGCCUCAUCCCCCACCUGGGAGAGCCAGCAUGCACCCACUGACAGGAGACCUCCAGCUGCUUACUUUACCCAGUGGAAGCUGCUCACCCCUGCUCACCAGCAGAGCUACCCUGAGGCCCCACUGGGAUAGGCCCUGCACAGCAGGUGCCUGGCCUGGCGGCCUAUCCACGCUUUCCUGCCUCCCAGACGAAGCCUCCAACUACCCAGCCUAAACAGCCACCCUAUGGGCACUGGCUCAUCGCCAGGCAGGAAUACACCCUUUCCAUCACCUUCUCUCCCAACAGCCUACAAAACGGCAGCUGAGCGAGGAUGAGACUACCACCCAGGGUGUGAGGGCCCACGAGGCCUCCCUGAGCCUGUCUACCACAGCCGACAAGCAAACUGCCUGGAAUAGCCUCUUCCCUCUGCCCAUCCUAGAGGAGAAGCAGUGGCCUCAGCCUUGCUCCACGCAGUCUGACAUUGUGCCCAUCAACAUCUCUGGUCACAGCAACAGCCCAGCAGGCAGUGUGGCCCACUCUACCACCUCCGACAUCAGGCCCAGUCACUCAGUUCCAGAAGGGGUUCAUGGAAGAGUUGCAGUUGGUCAGGAUGCUCGGUUCCCAGGUCUCACCUCGCCAGUACUGAGAACUCCUUCCAGUGAGCCGGACGAACCUCACCAGGCACGGAGUGGCCCAAACCCUCCUGGCAUGGAGAGCAUGGGAAUGGUAUACAGUGUCCCCAGUUCUUGCAAUGGACCUACAGAAUCAACCUUCUCCACUUCCUGGAAGGGAGAUGCUUUUACCUACAUGACUCCAAGUGCCACCAGCCAGAGCAAUCAAGUCAAUGAAAAUGGGAAGAAUCCUUCCUGUGGGAAUUCUUGGGUCUCUCUAAACAAAGUCCCACCUCUGGUUCCUAAGGAGGCUGCUACCCUCCUUGUCGCUCGUGAUAACCCAGCAGGAUGCAGUGGAUCAGCUGGCUACCCUGAGCGCCUUAUUCAGCAAAGGCACAUGCCCGAAAGACUCUCCAAGAUUGGCCUUCUGACCAGUGGGACCUCGAGGCUGGAGACAGGCCCUGGUGGGGCCAGCAGAUUCCGGGAGCGGUCACUGUCUGUGCCCACAGACUCAGGCACCACAGAUGUGGACUAUGAUGAGGAGCAGAAGGCCAAUGAGGCCUGUGCCCUGCCUUUUGCCAGUACGAGCUCUGAAGGCAGUAACAGUGCUGACAACAUCGCCUCCCUUAGUGCCCAGCAAGAGGCCCAGCACAGAAGGCAGAGGUCCAAGAGUAUCUCACUUAGGAAGGCCAAAAAGAAGCCUUCCCCACCCACACGCAGUGUCUCACUGGUCAAAGAUGAGCCAGGCCUCUUGCCUGAAGGUGGGUCAGCACUACCCAAGGACCAGAGGCCCAAGAGCCUUUGCCUCUCCUUGGAACAUCAAGGACAUCACUCGUCCCACCCAGAUGCUCAGGGUCACCCAGCUGUUCCAAACCACAAAGAUCCAGAAGGUACACAAUUAUCCCACCACUGGUAUCUUACUGACUGGAAGUCUGGUGACACCUACCAAUCCCUGUCCAGCUCCAGCACUGCCACUGGCACCACAGUCAUUGAGUGCACCCAAGUUCAGGGCAGCUCAGAGUCUCUUGCCUCACCUUCCACCUCCAGAGCCACUACACCUUCCCAACUCUCCAUUGAAGUGGAGGCCAGGGAGAUAUCAUCCCCGGGAAGGCCCCCUGGACUGAUGUCACCCUCCAGUGGCUACUCCAGCCAGUCGGAAACACCAACACCCACUGUUUCCAUGUCCCUGACCCUGGGCCACUUACCCCCUCCAAGCAGCAGUGGCCGGGUACGUCCAGUGGUACCUGAGAGGAAGUCAUCACUACCCCCGACGUCACCAAUGGAGAAAUUUCCCAAGUCACGGCUAUCAUUUGACCUACCACUGACCUCUUCACCCAACCUGGAUCUGUCUGGGAUGAGUAUCUCCAUCCGAAGCAAAACCAAGGUGAGUCGGCACCACUCAGAGACAAAUUUUGGUGUCAAGCUGGCCCAGAAGACUAAUCCCAACCAGCCAAUCAUGCCUAUGGUUACUCAGUCCGACCUACGUUCUGUUCGCCUGAGGUCGGUCAGCAAGUCUGAGCCGGAAGAUGACAUUGAGAGCCCUGACUAUGCCGAGGAACCCAGAGCAGAAGAAGUCUUCACCUUGCCAGAGAGAAAGACAAAACCUCCCGUAGCUGAGAAGCCUCCGGUGGCCCGGAGGCCUCCAAGCUUGGUCCACAAGCCACCAUCUGUUCCCGAGGAGUAUGCACUAACUUCACCAACCUUGGCUAUGCCCCCCAGGAGCUCAAUUCAACAUGCGAGACCACUCCCUCAAGACAGCUACACAGUAGUGCGGAAACCAAAGCCCUCCAGCUUCCCAGAUGGCAGAAGCCCAGGGGAGUCAACAGCACCCUCAUCUCUUGUUUUCACGCCUUUUGCCAGUUCCUCUGAUGCUUUCUUCUCAGGAACACAGCAGCAUCCCCAGGGAAGUGCAGAGGAUGAGGGCCCCAAGGUGAGGGUUCUGCCUGAAAGAAUUAGCCUCCAGAGCCAGGAAGAAGCUGAGAAAAAGAAAGGCAAGAUUCCACCUCCCGUACCAAAAAAACCCAGCGUGCUGUACCUGCCUCUCACUUCUCCCACAGCUCAAACGGAGGCCUAUGUGGCAGAACCAAGGCUGCCUCUCAGCCCCAUCAUCACCCUGGAGGAAGACACCAAGCGUCCCCCCACCGGCGAUGACCUGCAAUCACUUGGUCAAAGGGUGACUUCAACUCCUCAGGCUGACAGUGAAAGGGAGGCAAGCCCUCUGGGUUAGUAAACUGUCUGCUGGCUUUUUCCUUCAGUCACAGGAGACAUGAGGGUGAGAAUGGAGUGCCAGAGAUGGAAGCAGAUGCCCCAGAAUAAUUAUCCUGAUCCCAAGUCAGUAGCGGGCACCCCUUGAGGGUUUGAAUUACUCUAAAUAGGAACCACGGGCUGGCCUUACUGCCCUUGAGAUCAAGACUAGCCCGAGGCAGAUCUCCAAGGCCCAGUUUAGGCCACUCUCCCCCUAAGUCUCUAGUGCUGAGAUAAUGAAAUCAAACUAGGUUCUAGCACCCUAGGACUUCAGCAUCCCACGUCCCUAGCCAAGCAUGCGUCCUGUCAUGGGAACUACUCCACCUCACUGUACAGUACUUUUCAUUGGCUGUACUGAAUUUAGUUCCCUACAUGGGACUCAAUACCCCACCAGACUGAGUUCAAGUGCCAUGGCAGGCUUGGAGCCAUCUGAAACAAUGGAAUAUGUUGCCACCAGCAGCCUCUUUUUGUGCCUUCAGGAGGAAAGGGAGCUCACUUUCUUGGGUGGUUUGAGUUCUUUGGCUCUUCCUGGAACCAUAAACAUAAUACAUAAUGCUUCUCAUCCUUU